CCCCGUCCCGGGAAGGGGUGGCCCUCAGUACCCGCCUGGCUCGCCCUGCCGCCAAGCUCAAGUGUCCCUUCCCUUCCCCUCGGGGCCCCCGAGGCCGCUGCCAGCGCUGGCACGGCGGGGCCGGCUCACCAGUUGGUCAUGUCCAGGAAGAAGGCGCAACCGGCAGGAUUGAGCUGGAAGCCGAGCAGCCUCUGGAACUCGGAGAUGAGCACGUCCUUGUCGGUGGUGCCCAGGCAGCUGAACUUCUGCAUCAGCUCCGGGUCCAGGUCUACGUCCAUGCCCUCCAUGGCGGGGACCGGACACCCGCUUCCCCGCCUCCUCACAACCAAGCCGCCGCCGCGCCGCCGGGCCCGGGGACCUGGAGGGGGCCCGCUGCUAGCUAGCUUCGCGACCCCGCUCCUUUGAGGUGAGGAAACUGAAGUCCCGGGAGAGACAGUGGCAAGGUCAAGUAGCAAAGUGCACUCAGCCCUCCCAGCAGGGAGUCUGCCACUCGCGCUUGAAGGACGUGUUUGAAGAGCUGCUUUCCCAGUGGGAUGCUGCCUUAAAGUCUUGAUUCCCUGGCACUCUUUCCUAUUACUACAUUUUAUCGGUGCUGUUUGUGUUAUGCAACGGUAGCAUCGUGUCUCCGGAAGAUAAAAAAAGGUCUCAAUACAAACAUCCAUAACCUUCCACCCACUCCGUCAGGAACAACCCAAUCAAAAUAAAGUCAUGAGAAUUUA
Molecule: non-coding RNA, 719 nt
Filed under: Pan troglodytes (chimpanzee)
Lineage: Eukaryota; Metazoa; Chordata; Mammalia; Primates; Hominidae
Source: RNAcentral